RNAcentral lists this ribosomal RNA (433 nucleotides) under uncultured bacterium. RNAcentral's name for it is "partial 16S ribosomal RNA". It matches the Rfam family "Bacterial small subunit ribosomal RNA", at positions 29 to 507 of the family's 1533-position model. The record is from RNAcentral.
AACGAACGCUGGCGGCAUGCCUAACACAUGCAAGUCGAACGAGCCCUUCGGGGUUAGUGGCGCACGGGUGCGUAACGCGUGGGAAUCCGCCCUUGGGUUCGGAACAACAGUGAGAAAUUACUGCUAAUACCGGAUGAUGUCUCCGGACCAAAGAUUCAUCGCCCAAGGAUGAGCCCGCGUAGGAUUAGUUAGUUGGUGGGGUAAUGGCCUACCAAGGCGACGAUCCUUAGCUGGUCGGAGAGGAUGAUCAGCCACACUGGGACUGAGACACGGCCCAGAAUCCUACGGGAGGCAACAGUGGGGAAUAUUGGACAAUGGGCAAAAGCCUGAUCCAGCAAGGCCGCGUGAGAGGUGAAGGCCUUAGGGUUGUGAAGCUCUAUUACACGGGGUGAUAAUGACAGUGCCGGGAGAAUGAGCUCCGGCUAACUCCGUG